UACGGAGGUGGCAAGCGUUGCUCGGAAUCACUGGGCGUAAAGGGCGCGUAGGCGGGGAGGUAAGUCGGGUGUGAAAUCCCUCGGCCCAACCGAGGAACUGCGCCCGAGACUGCUUCUCUUGAGUCCCGGAGAGGAAGAUGGAAUUCCCGGUGUAGCGGUGAAAUGUGUAGAGAUCGGGAGGAACACCGGUGGCGAAGGCGGUCUUCUGGACGGUGACUGACGCUGAAGCGCGAAAGCGUGGGGAGCAAACGGG
This 253-nucleotide ribosomal RNA is filed under the name uncultured bacterium. Its description in RNAcentral is "partial 16S ribosomal RNA". It matches the Rfam family "Bacterial small subunit ribosomal RNA", at positions 524 to 776 of the family's 1533-position model. The record is from RNAcentral.